Molecule: ribosomal RNA, 114 nt
Filed under: Oryctolagus cuniculus (rabbit)
Lineage: Eukaryota; Metazoa; Chordata; Mammalia; Lagomorpha; Leporidae
Source: RNAcentral
GUCUACAGCCAUACCACCCUGAAGGAGCCCAAUCACGUCUGAUCUUGGAAGCUAAGCAGGGUCGGGCCUGGUUAGUACUUAGUACUUGGAUGGGAGAAUAUGUUGGAAUAAAUA